UUACGGCUAUUUCAUAUUGAAAACACCAGUUCUCAUCUGAUCACAGAAGUUAAGCAAUGCUGAGCCUGGUCAGUAUUUAGAUGGGUGAACACUUGAGAAUACCAAGUGAUGUAA
Non-coding RNA from Acanthosepion pharaonis, 114 nucleotides. The record is from the annotation of a GenBank genome assembly. NCBI's taxonomy places the organism in Eukaryota, Metazoa, Mollusca, Cephalopoda, Sepiida, Sepiidae.